UACGUAGGGUCCGAGCGUUAAUCGGAAUUACUGGGCGUAAAGCGUGCGCAGGCGGUUCGCAAAGACAGGUGUGAAAUCCCCGGGCUUAACCUGGGAACUGCGCUUGUAACUAGCGGGCUAGAGUGCGGCAGAGGGGGGUGGAAGUUCCACGUGUAGCAGUGAAAUGCGUAGAUAUGUGGAGGAACACCGAUGGCGAAGGCAGCCCCUGGGU
This 211-nucleotide ribosomal RNA is filed under the name uncultured bacterium. RNAcentral's name for it is "partial 16S ribosomal RNA". It matches the Rfam family "Bacterial small subunit ribosomal RNA", at positions 524 to 734 of the family's 1533-position model. The record is from RNAcentral.